RNAcentral lists this ribosomal RNA (468 nucleotides) under uncultured bacterium. RNAcentral describes it as "partial 16S ribosomal RNA". It matches the Rfam family "Bacterial small subunit ribosomal RNA", at positions 28 to 507 of the family's 1533-position model. The record is from RNAcentral.
GACGGACGCUGGCGGCGUGCUUAACACAUGCAAGUCGAACGGAAAGGCCCUGCUUUUGUGGGGUGCUCGAGUGGUGAACGGGUGAGUAACACGUGAGUAACCUGCCCUUGACUUUGGGAUAACUUCAGGAAACUGGGGCUAAUACCGGAUAGGAGCUCCUGCUGCAUGGUGGGGGUUGGAAAGUUUCGGCGGUUGGGGAUGGACUCGCGGCUUAUCAGCUUGUUGGUGGGGUAGUGGCUUACCAAGGCUUUGACGGGUAGCCGGCCUGAGAGGGUGACCGGCCACAUUGGGACUGAGAUACGGCCCAGACUCCUACGGGAGGCAGCAGUGGGGAAUAUUGCACAAUGGGCGGAAGCCUGAUGCAGCAACGCCGCGUGCGGGAUGACGGCCUUCGGGUUGUAAACCGCUUUCGCCUGUGACGAAGCGUGAGUGACGGUAAUGGGUAAAGAAGCACCGGCUAACUACGUG